RNAcentral lists this transfer RNA (72 nucleotides) under Marmota marmota marmota (Alpine marmot). It matches the Rfam family "tRNA". From Rfam's summary of the family: Transfer RNA (tRNA) molecules are approximately 80 nucleotides in length. Their secondary structure includes four short double-helical elements and three loops (D, anti-codon, and T loops). RNAcentral also lists the same sequence under 3 other names. The record is from Rfam by way of RNAcentral. Lineage: Eukaryota; Metazoa; Chordata; Mammalia; Rodentia; Sciuridae.
UGAGUUGUGGCUCAGUGGUGGAGCUCUUACCUUGCAUGUGUGAGGUACUGGGUUCAAUUCUCAGCACCACAU